GGUGGCGUGGCGUUGGGGCUGUCUUGCGGGUUGGCCGGAGAGGGAGCACACCGAGUGGGCUUCUAAGAUGGCUGAGGGAUUUGUCUAGGGUUUCCUGGUUAAUCCAUUCUGAUUUUGGUCUGCUCAUGCUCUUGGCUUCCGGACCGUGGUGCUCAAGUAUGCAUAUGAUUGGAUAUGCGCUUUCAGCUUUCGUGUCAUCGAUGGUUUCAGAUUCCUCCAUCCUUACUACACUGCCUAUAGUUUCUUAGGUAAAUCUGCUCAUCCUUUUGUAUCUAUUGCUUAUGUAUGUGUACAAAUACAUUUAGCUCUGACUUUCUGGGUCAUGGAUCAGGUUGGUAGCCUUGCAUGAAAAGGAAUACUCUGGACUAGAAUUUCUACCUAAUCAUAUGCCUCUGUGUGUU
Long non-coding RNA from Triticum aestivum (bread wheat), 401 nucleotides. RefSeq lists it as uncharacterized. The record is from RefSeq and is a predicted model, not a curated record. NCBI's taxonomy places the organism in Eukaryota, Viridiplantae, Streptophyta, Magnoliopsida, Poales, Poaceae. The transcript has 3 exons.